RNAcentral lists this ribosomal RNA (253 nucleotides) under uncultured bacterium. RNAcentral describes it as "partial 16S ribosomal RNA". It matches the Rfam family "Bacterial small subunit ribosomal RNA", at positions 524 to 776 of the family's 1533-position model. The record is from RNAcentral.
UACAGAGGUCUCAAGCGUUGUUCGGAUUUAUUGGGCGUAAAGGGUGCGCAGGCUGUAUGGUAAGUUUGGUGUGAAAUCCUGGGGCUUAACCCCAGAAUUGCACUGAAUACUGCCGUGCUAGAGGACUGGAGAGGAGAUUGGAAUUCACGGUGUAGCAGUGAAAUGCGUAGAUAUCGUGAGGAAGACCAGUGGCGAAGGCGGGUCUCUGGACAGUUCCUGACACUGAGGCACGAAGGCCAGGGGAGCAAACGGG